RNAcentral lists this unclassified non-coding RNA (342 nucleotides) under soil metagenome. RNAcentral's name for it is "partial contains 5.8S ribosomal RNA, internal transcribed spacer 2, and large subunit ribosomal RNA". The stretch from base 1 to 120 matches the Rfam family "5.8S ribosomal RNA", at positions 35 to 154 of the family's 154-position model. The record is from RNAcentral.
GAUGAAGAACGCAGCGAAAUGCGAUAAGUAAUGUGAAUUGCAGAAUCCAGUGAAUCAUCGAAUCUUUGAACGCACAUUGCGCCCGCCAGCAUUCUGGCGGGCAUGCCUGUUCGAGCGUCAUUUCAACCCUCGACCUCCCUUUGGGGAAGUCGGCGUUGGGGACCGGCAGCACACCGCCGGCCCUGAAAUGGAGUGGCGGCCCGUCCGCGGCGACCUCUGCGUAGUAAACCAACUCGCACCGGAACCCCGACGUGGCCACGCCGUAAAACACCCAACUUCUGAACGUUGACCUCGAAUCAGGUAGGACUACCCGCUGAACUUAAGCAUAUCAUAAGCGGAGGA